RNAcentral lists this ribosomal RNA (253 nucleotides) under uncultured bacterium. RNAcentral describes it as "partial 16S ribosomal RNA". It matches the Rfam family "Bacterial small subunit ribosomal RNA", at positions 524 to 776 of the family's 1533-position model. The record is from RNAcentral.
UACGGGGGGGGCAAGCGUUGUUCGGAAUUACUGGGCGUAAAGGGCUCGUAGGCGGCCAACUAAGUCGGAUGUGAAAUCCCCAGGCUUAACCUGGGAACUGCAUCCGAUACUGGAUGGCUUGAAUCCGGGAGAGGGAUGCAGAAUUCCAGGUGUAGCGGUGAAAUGCGUAGAUAUCUGGAGGAAUACCGGUGGCGAAGGCGACUUCCUGGCCUGUUCUUGACGCUGAGGCGCGAAAGCUAGGGGAGCAAACGGG